Molecule: non-coding RNA, 789 nt
Filed under: Pseudonocardia sp. HH130629-09
Lineage: Bacteria; Bacillati; Actinomycetota; Actinomycetes; Pseudonocardiales; Pseudonocardiaceae
Description: Bacterial large subunit ribosomal RNA
Rfam family: Bacterial large subunit ribosomal RNA
Source: Rfam by way of RNAcentral
UGGUUGUGUGGGUGCAGACGCCGAGCUGGCGAGCCGGUGACCUGUGCAGCUGUGGUCAGAGCAGUUGCGCUGCAACCUUCGCGAUCUCCUGACGCAGAAGCUCGCUGGUCAGGUUGAAAAAGGCUCAGUGCCUGGUGGGUAGUUUAACUGGGGCGGUUGCCUCCCAAAGAGUAACGGAGGCGCCCAAAGGUUCCCUCAGCCUGGUUGGCAAUCAGGUGUUGAGUGUAAGUGCACAAGGGAGCUUGACUGUGAGACUGACGGGUCGAGCAGGGACGAAAGUCGGGACUAGUGAUCCGGCACCACCUUGUGGAAGGGGUGUCGCUCAACGGCUAAAAGGUACCCCGGGGAUAACAGGCUGAUCUUGCCCAAGAGUCCAUAUCGACGGCAUGGUUUGGCACCUCGAUGUCGGCUCGUCGCAUCCUGGGGCUGGAGUAGGUCCCAAGGGUUGGGCUGUUCGCCCAUUAAAGCGGUACGCGAGCUGGGUUUAGAACGUCGUGAGACAGUUCGGUCCCUAUCCGCCGCGCGCGUUGGAGACUUGAGGAAGGCUGUCCCUAGUACGAGAGGACCGGGACGGACGAACCUCUGGUGUGCCAGUUGUCCCGCCAGGGGCACGGCUGGUUGGCUAUGUUCGGGAGGGAUAACCGCUGAAGGCAUCUAAGCGGGAAGCCUGUUCCAAGAUGAGGUCUCCCACCACCUUUGAGUGGGUAAGGCUCCCAGGAGAUGACUGGGUUGAUAGGCCGGAGAUGGAAGCCCUGUGAGGGGUGGAGUUGACCGGUACUAAUAGGCCGA